CGCACAUUGCGCCCCUUGGUAUUCCAUGGGGCAUGCCUGUUCGAGCGUCAUUUACACCCUCAAGCUCUGCUUGGUGUUGGGCGUCUGUUCUAGCCGUUUACCGGCUUGGACUCGCCUUAAAAAUAUUGGCAGCGGCCUUCGCCAGCUUCUUGCGCAGCAGAGUUUGCGUCGAACGGAGUUUAGCGUUAGGCUUGCAUCCACAAAGCUUACCACGACUUGACCUCGGAUCAGGUAGGGAUACCCGCUGAACUUAA
Molecule: unclassified non-coding RNA, 254 nt
Filed under: fungal sp.
Lineage: Eukaryota; Fungi
Description: partial contains 5.8S ribosomal RNA, internal transcribed spacer 2, and large subunit ribosomal RNA
Source: RNAcentral